This 497-nucleotide ribosomal RNA is filed under the name uncultured bacterium. RNAcentral describes it as "partial 16S ribosomal RNA". It matches the Rfam family "Bacterial small subunit ribosomal RNA", at positions 28 to 507 of the family's 1533-position model. The record is from RNAcentral.
GAUGAACGCUGGCGGCGUGCCUAAUACAUGCAAGUCGAGCGAACGGACGAGAAGCUUGCUUCUCUGAUGUUAGCGGCGGACGGGUGAGUAACACGUGGAUAACCUACCUAUAAGACUAGGAUAACUUCGGGAAACCGGAGCUAAUACCGGAUGAUAUUUUGAACCGCAUGGUUCAAAAGUGAAAGACGGUCUUGCUGUCACUUAUAGAUGGAUCCGCGCUGCAUUAGCUAGUUGGUAAGGUAACGGCUUACCAAGGCAACGAUGCAUAGCCGACCUGAGAGGGUGAUCGGCCACACUGGAACUGAGACACGGUCCAGACUCCUACGGGAGGCAGCAGUAGGGAAUCUUCCGCAAUGGGCGAAAGCCUGGCGGAGCAACGCCGCGUGAGUGAUGAAGGUCUUCGGAUCGUAAAACUCUGUUAUUAGGGAAGAACAUAUGUGUAAGUAACUGUGCACAUCUUGACGGUACCUAAUCAGAAAGCCACGGCUAACUACGUG